RNAcentral lists this ribosomal RNA (336 nucleotides) under uncultured bacterium. Its description in RNAcentral is "bacterial SSU rRNA". It matches the Rfam family "Bacterial small subunit ribosomal RNA", at positions 1042 to 1382 of the family's 1533-position model. The record is from RNAcentral.
UGCAUGGCUGUCGUCAGCUCGUGUCGUGAGAUGUUGGGUUAAGUCCCGCAACGAGCGCAACCCUUAUUCUUAGUUGUUUCCCUUUGGGAUUACCCUCUAAGAAGACUGCCUCGGAUAACGGGGAGGAAGUGGGAUGACGUCAAGUCCGCAUGCUCCUUACGUCUAGGGCUACACACGUCCUACAAUGGGGUCGACAAUGGGAUGCAAUAUCGCAAGAUGGAGCCAAUCCCCAAACGGCCUCUCAGUUCGGAUUGUAGGCUGCAACUCGCCUACAUGAAGUCGGAAUCGCUAGUAAUCGCGGAUCAGCAUGUCGCGGUGAAUACGUUCCCGGGUCUU